GACGAACGCUGGCGGCGUGCUUAACACAUGCAAGUCGAACGGAAAGGCCCUGCUUUUGUGGGGUGCUCGAGUGGCGAACGGGUGAGUAACACGUGAGUAACCUGCCCUUGACUUUGGGAUAACUUCAGGAAACUGGGGCUAAUACCGGAUAGGAGCUCCUGCUGCAUGGUGGGGGUUGGAAAGUUUCGGCGGUUGGGGAUGGACUCGCGGCUUAUCAGCUUGUUGGUGGGGUAGUGGCUUACCAAGGCUUUGACGGGUAGCCGGCCUGAGAGGGUGACCGGCCACAUUGGGACUGAGGUACGGCCGAGGCGCCUACGGGAGGCAGCAGUGGGGAAUAUGGCACAAUGGGCGGAAGCCUGAUGCAGCAACGCCGCGUGGGGGAAGACGGCGUUCGGGUUGUAACACGCUUUCGCCGGUGACGAAGCGUGAGUGACGGGAAUGGGUAAAGAAGCACAGGCUAACUAAGUG
RNAcentral lists this ribosomal RNA (468 nucleotides) under uncultured bacterium. RNAcentral describes it as "partial 16S ribosomal RNA". It matches the Rfam family "Bacterial small subunit ribosomal RNA", at positions 28 to 507 of the family's 1533-position model. The record is from RNAcentral.